Molecule: ribosomal RNA, 492 nt
Filed under: uncultured bacterium
Lineage: Bacteria
Description: partial 16S ribosomal RNA
Rfam family: Bacterial small subunit ribosomal RNA
Source: RNAcentral
AGUGAACGCUGGCGGUAGGCCUAACACAUGCAAGUCGAACGGCAGCACAGUAAGAGCUUGCUCUUACGGGUGGCGAGUGGCGGACGGGUGAGGAAUACAUCGGAAUCUACUUUUUCGUGGGGGAUAACGUAGGGAAACUUACGCUAAUACCGCAUACGACCUACGGGAGAAAGCAGGAGAUCUUCGGACCCUGCGCGAUUGAAUGAGCCGAUGUCGGAUUAGCUAGUUGGCGGGGUAAGGGCCCACCAAGGCGACGAUCCGUAGCUGGUCUGAGAGGAUGAUCAGCCACACUGGAACUGAGACACGGUCCAGACUCCUACGGGAGGCAGCAGUGGGGAAUAUUGGACAAUGGGCGCAAGCCUGAUCCAGCCAUACCGCGUGGGUGAAGAAGGCCUUCGGGUCGUAAAGCCCUUUUGUUGGGAAAGAAAAGCAGCAGGUUAAUACGCCGCUGUUCUGACGGUACCCAAAGAAUAAGCACCGGCUAACUUCGUG